GUGAGGAAUAUUGCGCAAUGGAGGCAACUCUGACGCAGCCAUGCCGCGUGCAGGAAGAAGGCGCUACGCGUUGUAAACUGCUUUUAACCGGGAAGAAACCCCAGGACGUGUCCUGGGUUGACGGUACCGGAGGAAUAAGCACCGGCUAACUUCGUGCCAGCAGCCGCGGUAAUACGAAGGGUGCAAGCGUUAUCCGGAUUCAUUGGGUUUAAAGGGUGCGUAGGCGGAGCGUUAAGUCAGUGGUGAAAUCCUGCAGCUUAACUGUAGACUUGCCAUUGAUACUGGCGCUCUUGAGUGCGCUUGAAGUGGGCGGAAUGUGCCGUGUAGCGGUGAAAUGCUUAGAUAUGGCACAGAACACUAAUUGCGAAGGCAGCUCACUAAGGCGAUACUGACGCUGAGGCACGAAAGCGUGGGGAUCGAACAGGAUUAGAAACCCUAGUAGUCC
Molecule: ribosomal RNA, 445 nt
Filed under: uncultured bacterium
Lineage: Bacteria
Description: partial 16S ribosomal RNA
Rfam family: Bacterial small subunit ribosomal RNA
Source: RNAcentral